GACGAACGCUGGCGGCGUGCCUAAUACAUGCAAGUAGAACGCUGAAGGAGGAGCUUGCUUCUCUGGAUGAGUUGCGAACGGGUGAGUAACGCGUAGGUAACCUGCCUUGUAGCGGGGGAUAACUAUUGGAAACGAUAGCUAAUACCGCAUAAUAGUAGAUGUUGCAUGACAUUUGCUUAAAAGGUGCAAUUGCAUCACUACCAGAUGGACCUGCGUUGUAUUAGCUAGUUGGUGAGGUAACGGCUCACCAAGGCAACGAUACAUAGCCGACCUGAGAGGGUGAUCGGCCACACUGGGACUGAGACACGGCCCAGACUCCUACGGGAGGCAGCAGUAGGGAAUCUUCGGCAAUGGACGGAAGUCUGACCGAGCAACGCCGCGUGAGUGAAGAAGGUUUUCGGAUCAUAAAGCUCUGUUGUAAGAGAAGAACGAGUGUGAGAGUGGAAAGUUCACACUGUGACGGUAUCUUACCAGAAAGGGACGGCUAACUACGUG
This 495-nucleotide ribosomal RNA is filed under the name uncultured bacterium. RNAcentral's name for it is "partial 16S ribosomal RNA". It matches the Rfam family "Bacterial small subunit ribosomal RNA", at positions 28 to 507 of the family's 1533-position model. The record is from RNAcentral.